CGCUGGCGGCGUGCCUAAUACAUGCAAGUCGAGCGGACCGACGGGAGCUUGCUCCCUUAGGUCAGCGGCGGACGGGUGAGUAACACGUGGGUAACCUGCCUGUAAGACUGGGAUAACUCCGGGAAACCGGGGCUAAUACCGGAUGCUUGAUUGAACCGCAUGGUUCAAUCAUAAAAGGUGGCUUUUAGCUACCACUUNCAGAUGGACCCGCGGCGCAUUAGCUAGUUGGUGAGGUAACGGCUCACCAAGGCGACGAUGCGUAGCCGACCUGAGAGGGUGAUCGGCCACACUGGGACUGAGACACGGCCCAGACUCCUACGGGAGGCAGCAGUAGGGAAUCUUCCGCAAUGGACGAAAGUCUGACGGAGCAACGCCGCGUGAGUGAUGAAGGUUUUCGGAUCGUAAAACUCUGUUGUUAGGGAAGAACAAGUACCGUUCGAAUAGGGCGCACCUUGACGGUACCUAACCAGAAAGCCACGGCUAACUACGUGCCAGCAGCCGCGGUAAUACGUAGGUGGCAAGCGUUGUCCGGAAUUAUUGGGCGUAAAGCGCGCGCAGGCGGUUUCUUAAGUCUGAUGUGAAAGCCCCCGGCUCAACCGGGGAGGGUCAUUGGAAACUGGGGAACUUGAGUGCAGAAGAGGAGAGUGGAAUUCCACGUGUAGCGGUGAAAUGCGUAGAGAUGUGGAGGAACACCAGUGGCGAAGGCGACUCUCUGGUCUGUAACUGACGCUGAGGCGCGAAAGCGUGGGGAGCGAACAGGAUUAGAUACCCUGGGUAGUCCACGCCGUAAACGAUGAGUGCUAAGUGUUAGAGGGUUUCCGCCCUUUAGUGCUGCAGCAACGCAUUAAGCACUCCGCCUGGGGAGUACGGUCCCAAGACUGAACUCAAAGAAUUGA
RNAcentral lists this ribosomal RNA (896 nucleotides) under Bacillus licheniformis. RNAcentral describes it as "bacterial SSU rRNA". It matches the Rfam family "Bacterial small subunit ribosomal RNA", at positions 34 to 913 of the family's 1533-position model. The record is from RNAcentral. Lineage: Bacteria; Bacillati; Bacillota; Bacilli; Caryophanales; Bacillaceae.